Molecule: ribosomal RNA, 77 nt
Filed under: Mielichhoferia elongata
Lineage: Eukaryota; Viridiplantae; Streptophyta; Bryopsida; Bryales; Mniaceae
Description: partial 5.8S ribosomal RNA
Rfam family: 5.8S ribosomal RNA
About the family: 5.8S ribosomal RNA (5.8S rRNA) is a component of the large subunit of the eukaryotic ribosome. It is transcribed by RNA polymerase I as part of the 45S precursor that also contains 18S and 28S rRNA. Functionally, it is thought that 5.8S rRNA may be involved in ribosome translocation.
Source: RNAcentral
AUUCCGCGAAUCAUCGAGUCUUUGAACGCAAGUUGCGCCCGAGGCUUGUCCAAGGGCAUUUCCGCUACAGCGUCACC